GGAAGUGAGGGAGAUCUGGCUGCGACAUUUGUCACCCCAUUGAUCACCAGGGUUGAUUUGGCUGAUCUGGUUGGCUAGGUCGGUGUCCCCUUCUUCCCUCACCACUCCAUGUGCAUCCCUCCAGAAGCUGUGUGCUCGGUCAAAGAGGACGACCUUCCCCGAUAAAGGAGGACCGUUCUUUGGUCAAGGGUAUACGAGUAGCUGCGCUCCUCUGCUAGAACCUCCAAACAAGCUCUGAUUGAGGUUACUAGAGAUUUUACUUUUUUACUUCUAGUUAGUCUGGCCAAAGGCUUAUCUA
Unclassified non-coding RNA from Otolemur garnettii (small-eared galago), 298 nucleotides. Its record names the gene 7SK. It matches the Rfam family "7SK RNA". From Rfam's summary of the family: 7SK was discovered as an abundant small nuclear RNA in the mid-70s but a possible function has only recently been suggested. Two independent studies have found that 7SK RNA binds the CDK9/cyclin T complex (known as elongation factor P-TEFb). Lineage: Eukaryota; Metazoa; Chordata; Mammalia; Primates; Galagidae. The record is from Ensembl.